AAAGCCUUAGCUUAAUAAAAGUGUUUGAUUUGCAAUCAAGGGAUGUGAGUUAAUGUCUUGCAGGUUUUA
Molecule: transfer RNA, 69 nt
Filed under: Enteromius hulstaerti (butterfly barb)
Lineage: Eukaryota; Metazoa; Chordata; Actinopteri; Cypriniformes; Cyprinidae
Description: tRNA-Ala
Rfam family: tRNA
About the family: Transfer RNA (tRNA) molecules are approximately 80 nucleotides in length.
Source: RNAcentral